GUUAACCUGGAAGAAAGAAAGAAGCAACUAGGUGGGGAGAGGAGUCAGUUUUCCAUUUCCUGGAAUUCCAACUGGGGAAGAACCUGUUUGGACCUGGUUUGACCACACUUCCAGGUCCUGAGGGCAGGGCACUAGGGAGCAUUAGCACAGCAGCGAGCCACAGCAGCACCACGGCAUCCAGCCUGGCUAACGUUCCCAAGAGGAGAUACAUAAUCACGGGUGAUGACAUAGGGUAUACCUGGAUGAACUUAAUAUACAUUUAUUUUAUAAGUAUGAGAAGAAAAUGACAUCCACACUUCAAACAACAAUUUCACUGAUACUGUUGCUUAGGACCAGAGCUAUGACGGAUGGUUCCAUAAUAAUCCCCUUCAUGCCGAUGUGUGAAUCACAGGUGGUGUGCUCAGGCAUGCCAAUGAAUACCUCACAUCUUCAGAUCUAAACCUGCUGCCAUAACUGCUUGAAAACAUAGAUAGUGGAGAUGAUACAGAUUAUUCAUAUGGAUUCUUAAAUUCCAGAUUUCCAUGUGCAGUGAACGUGUCCUUUCUGGCAUAAGGCUGAAACCUGCCCUCUGUCUGUGGCCUGCAGAUGUGAAGACGCUUCUGACUGAAAAGUAAAAAUGAAAAGAGAAAGUGGCUCUACCGUGAUCAGCAAAUGGAUUCUUAGUUGUUUUCCCCUCUGGGUAUCAUGUCCAAAAGACAACUUUUUUUUUUUUUCCUUUCUGGGGUAUAUUUGACAUAAUGAUGGGCUAUCUUAAUGUACUGAAAGGCUAUACCACAAAGAAGUGACAUCUUUUGAAGUAGAUUACUUAAGAGGCUUCGCAGUCGUUUGCACCUGGCAUUGAAGAGGGCGGAAUCCGCCCGUGAGGCUGCCUAUCAGCCAUUUGACUUUGGGGGAGAACGAGAAAAGGGCUGGAGGCUGGUGCGGGGAGAAAGCUGGCUGAGAAACUGGGGCCAGAUAACAGGUUGCAGUGGGAGCUGCCUGAUCUGUAAGUGGAAGUAGUUUAUAAGGGGCACGAGCUAGGACUAGCAGGAGGAGAGGGGAAAGGGGUAACUAUCUAGAAACUUCAGAGGACUCUUCAGAGGACAUAAAGAACUCUCUACUUGGGUCCUCGUGUUAAAACCUGGGUUAUGCACCCAGGUUGUGAGCUUAGCGUGAGGUCCUUCAACACACUGGCUAGGACAGCAGCCCUGAAGGCCCCAGAGAGGUUCCAACGGGGGCUCCACUCACUCACUGUGUGACUUUGGGCAUGUUUCUUCUCUAAGUUUGUUUCCUUGGCCAUAAAAGGGAAGACUUAUGUGUCCCUGACAGGGAUGUGAAGGUCAAAUGAGAUAGUUCUGGAAAGCUCUCAUAUAGUGUCUCAUACAUAGGAACCAUUCAGUAAAUAGUACCUAUAACUAUUGAGGACAACAAGCUACUUGACUGCAGAGUCAACACAGAAAAGGGUGAGUGGGUCUGCUGGGCUCUAGGGUUGUACAGAGAAGGAACUGGACAGAGCAAGGAGGCCCCAGAGAAGAGCAGACCUGUGGGGAAACAAGGUCUGUAGGUGCUCAUUAAAUAGAACUGCCUCAUUACCUCUUCCUCGCUUGAGAAAUCUGAGGACUAGUGUCCAUGACCUCUGAGCUUCUUGAGCUCUGGGAUCUUAAUCUAAUAUGACCAAAGCUGAAAAGGUCCAGGCAGUAGGUCAAAAACGUUCCUUGCUUCUCGUCCUACCUAUAAAAGCCAGCUGUGGCCAGCUGAAUACCAGGGAGUAGCUGGCUCUUUGGCCAAGGUGAGUGGAAAGCAAGACUGCCAGGCACACGGGGCACCAGGAGGGGGCAGAGUGCCAUCUGGUGGUAGUCCUAGUUGAUGGCACAGAGCAGGCAAUCCAAGGGAGUGGAUCUGGGCAAGGUCUGUGGGAUUAUAAAGGAGCAUUUGUUGAGCACUUUCCCUGUGGAAGUCACUGUACUAAAUACUUUAUGUGUACUUUCCCAUUCCAACCUCUUAUAAAGCAGGUGCUGUUCACACCAACUUACAGAGGAAGAAACUGAGGAAGAAUGAUUAGAGCAAGGUGACCCCUGAGAAAAUCUAAGGCAAAUCACAACACUGGCCUACUGUCUAUCUCUAUGGAACUGACUACUGUUGACACUUCAUCCAUAUUACCAUAACCUCGUAAAUCAGACCCCCUAAAUCCUCUCCUGAGUCCCACAUUCCUCUGGCCGGACAAGCUGCCAUUCUGCAUACCUUCUGGAAAAGCUUGUCAUCGGGUGUGGGGGUAUUGGCAGUGCGGCGCA
Felis catus (domestic cat) is the source of this 2270-nucleotide long non-coding RNA. RefSeq lists it as uncharacterized. The transcript has 4 exons. Lineage: Eukaryota; Metazoa; Chordata; Mammalia; Carnivora; Felidae. The record is from RefSeq and is a predicted model, not a curated record.